GAUGAACGCUGGCGGCGUGCCUAAUACAUGCAAGUCGAGCGAACGGACGAGAAGCUUGCUUCUCUGAUGUUAGCGGCGGACGGGUGAGUAACACGUGGAUAACCUACCUAUAAGACUGGGAUAACUUCGGGAAACCGGAGCUAAUACCGGAUGAUAUUUUGAACCGCAUGGUUCAAAAGUGAAAGACGGUCUUGCUGUCACUUAUAGAUGGAUCCGCGCUGCAUUAGCUAGUUGGUAAGGUAACGGCUUACCAAGGCAACGAUGCAUAGCCGACCUGAGAGGAUGAUCGGCCACACUGGAACUGAGACACGGUCCAGACUCCUACGGGAGGCAGCAGUGGGGAAUCUUCCGCAAUGGGCGAAAGCCUGACGGAGCAACGCCGCGUGAGUGAUGAAGGUCUUCGGAUCGUAAAACUCUGUUAUUAGGGAAGAACAUAUGUGUAAGUAACUGUGCACAUCUUGACGGUACCUAAUCAGAAAGCCACGGCUAACUACGUG
RNAcentral lists this ribosomal RNA (497 nucleotides) under uncultured bacterium. RNAcentral describes it as "partial 16S ribosomal RNA". It matches the Rfam family "Bacterial small subunit ribosomal RNA", at positions 28 to 507 of the family's 1533-position model. The record is from RNAcentral.